UUUAAGUGUAACCAUAAGUUUUCACGCUCAAUUUUGAUUGUCCGUUUUAUUUAAAUUUUUUUUAUAAUUAGUAAUUUUAUUAUUAUUAUAUGAUAAAACAUGAAUAUUAAUUAUACAUAACUUAUGUUUUAAGUUUUUUUGAAAAUUUUUCAAAUAAAACGGAAGAUCAAAAUUGUGCACGAAAAAUCAUGGCUACACUUAAA
Oryza rufipogon (brownbeard rice) is the source of this 203-nucleotide microRNA precursor. It matches the Rfam family "MIR812 microRNA precursor family". The record is from Rfam. NCBI's taxonomy places the organism in Eukaryota, Viridiplantae, Streptophyta, Magnoliopsida, Poales, Poaceae.